CAGGAAGGAGGAGGCAGCCAGAGUGUUCUCUGCAGCAGAAGACCCCUUGCUGCACUGCUUAACCCAGACCAGCAUUUGCCAGGGUUUGGUUCUGAAGAUGCUGCAAGGAUGCAGACUUUGAGGCAUGAUAUAGGGACACAACCCAUCUUCAUGGAUCAGACACUGCGAAAAAGAACCCUUCACAGAUAGACUGAGGAUGACAAUGACGACGAUGAUGAUGACGACGACUACUACUACUACUUAUAUACCACUUUUCAAUAAAAGUUUGCAAAGCG
This is a long non-coding RNA of Hemicordylus capensis (graceful crag lizard), 275 nucleotides long. RefSeq lists it as uncharacterized. Lineage: Eukaryota; Metazoa; Chordata; Lepidosauria; Squamata; Cordylidae. The transcript is spliced from 4 exons. The record is from RefSeq and is a predicted model, not a curated record.